RNAcentral lists this ribosomal RNA (467 nucleotides) under uncultured bacterium. Its description in RNAcentral is "partial 16S ribosomal RNA". It matches the Rfam family "Bacterial small subunit ribosomal RNA", at positions 29 to 507 of the family's 1533-position model. The record is from RNAcentral.
ACGAACGCUGGCGGCGUGCUUCACACAUGCAAGUCGCACGGAAAGGCCCUGCUUUUGUGGGGUGCUCGAGUGGCGAACGGGUGAGUAACACGUGAGUAACCUGCCCUUGACUUUGGGAUAACUUCAGGAAACUGGGGCUAAUACCGGAUAGGAGCUCCUGCUGCAUGGUGGGGGUUGGAAAGUUUCGGCGGUUGGGGAUGGACUCGCGGCUUAUCAGCUUGUUGGUGGGGUAGUGGCUUACCAAGGCUUUGACGGGUAGCCGGCCUGAGGGGGUGACCGGCCAAAUUGGGACUGAGAUACGGCCCAGACUCCUACGGGAGGCAGCAGUGGGGAAUAUUGGACAAUGGGCGGAAGCCUGAUGCAGCAACGCCGCGGGCGGGAUGAAGGCCUUCGGGGUGUAAACCGCUUUCGCCUGUGACGAAGCGUGAGUGACGGUAAUGGGUAAAGAAGCACCGGCUAACUACGUG